GACGAACGCUGGCGGCGUGCUUAACACAUGCAAGUCGAACGGGAAGGCCCUGCUUUUGGGGGGUGCUCGAGUGGCGAACGGGGGAGUAACACGUGAGUAACCUGCCCUUGACUUUGGGAUAACUUCAGGAAACUGGGGCUAAUACCGGAUAGGAGCUCCUGCUGCAUGGUGGGGGUUGGAAGGUUUCGGCGGUUGGGGAUGGACUCGCGGCUUAUCAGCUUGUUGGUGGGGUAGUGGCUUACCAAGGCUUUGACGGGUAGCCGGCCUGAGAUGGUGACCGGCCACACUGGGACUGAGCUACGGCCCAGACUCCUCCGGGAGGCAGCAGUGGGGUAUAUUGCACAAUGGGCGGAAGCCUGAUGCAGCCACGCCGCGUGCCGGAUGACGGCCUUCGGGUUGUAAACCGCUUUCGCCUGUGACGAAGCGUGAGUGACGGUAAUGGGUAAAGAAGCACCGGCUAACUACGUG
Molecule: ribosomal RNA, 468 nt
Filed under: uncultured bacterium
Lineage: Bacteria
Description: partial 16S ribosomal RNA
Rfam family: Bacterial small subunit ribosomal RNA
Source: RNAcentral